GAUAAAUAAAGACCCUAUCCAGGCCCUCAUACAUUAACACAUAAGAGUAAAUGAUAAAUAAAGACCCUAUCCAGGCCCUCAUACAUUAACACGUAAGAGUAAAUGAUAAAUAAAGACCCUAUCCAGGCCCUCAUACAUUAACACGUAAGAGUAAAUGAUAAAUAAAGACCCUAUCCAGGCCCUCAUACAUUAACACGUAAGAGUAAGUGAUAAAUAAAGACCCUAUCCAGGCCCUCAUACAUUAACACGUAAGAGUAAAUGAUAAAUAAAGACCCUAUCCAGGCCCUCAUACAUUAACACGUAAGAGUAAAUGAUAAAUAAAGACCCUAUCCAGGCCCUCAUACAUUAACACGUAAGAGUAAAUGAUAAAUAAAGACCCUAUUCAGACCCUCAUACAUUAACACGUAAGAGUAAAUGAUAAAUAAAGACCCUAUCCAGACCCUCAUACAUUAACACUAAAUGAUAAAUAAAGACCCUAUCCAGACCCUCAUACAUUAACAUGUAAGAGUAAAUGAUAAAUGAAGACCCUAUCCAGGCCCUCGUACAUUAACACGUAAGAGUAAAUAAAGACAUCACCUUGGAACACUGUUUGAUUCUAUCUUUUUUUGUUGAUGAUACAACAUUUUUGGUGAAGGAGUCAUUAUAAACAGUCCCACCAUUCAUAAGAGGCAUUUUAUUGUAUAAUUAAUUCUGGUGCAAUAUUCAUAUUUGAUAUGUGUAUUAUUCAUGUUAUCUAUAAAGGAUAUUUGAAAAUGGUCACAAACAACAUGAACAAUAUUGUUAUUGUUAUUGUACAGUUCAUCCAUUAUUUUAAUAAAGUGAUAGCAAUA
Long non-coding RNA from Mytilus californianus (California mussel), 830 nucleotides. RefSeq lists it as uncharacterized. Lineage: Eukaryota; Metazoa; Mollusca; Bivalvia; Mytilida; Mytilidae. The record is from RefSeq and is a predicted model, not a curated record. The transcript is spliced from 2 exons.